UUGGCUUAGAAGCAGCCAUCAUUUAAAGAAAGCGUAAUAGCUCACUGGUCGAGUCGGCCUGCGCGGAAGAUGUAACGGGGCUAAACCAUGCACCGAAGCUGCGGCAGCGACACUGUGUGUUGUUGGGUAGGGGAGCGUUCUGUAAGCCUGUGAAGGUGUGCUGUGAGGCAUGCUGGAGGUAUCAGAAGUGCGAAUGCUGACAUAAGUAACGAUAAAGCGGGUGAAAAGCCCGCUCGCCGGAAGACCAAGGGUUCCUGUCCAACGUUAAUCGGGGCAGGGUGAGUCGACCCCUAAGGCGAGGCCGAAAGGCGUAGUCGAUGGGAAACAGGUUAAUAUUCCUGUACUUGGUGUUACUGCGAAGGGGGGACGGAGAAGGCUAUGUUGGCCGGGCGACGGUUGUCCCGGUUUAAGCGUGUAGGCUGGUUUUCCAGGCAAAUCCGGAAAAUCAAGGCUGAGGCGUGAUGACGAGGCACUACGGUGCUGAAGCAACAAAUGCCCUGCUUCCAGGAAAAGCCUCUAAGCAUCAGGUAACAUCAAAUCGUACCCCAAACCGACACAGGUGGUCAGGUAGAGAAUACCAAGGCGCUUGAGAGAACUCGGGUGAAGGAACUAGGCAAAAUGGUGCCGUAACUUCGGGAGAAGGCACGCUGAUAUGUAGGUGAAGUCCCUCGCGGAUGGAGCUGAAAUCAGUCGAAGAUACCAGCUGGCUGCAACUGUUUAUUAAAAACACAGCACUGUGCAAACACGAAAGUGGACGUAUACGGUGUGACGCCUGCCCGGUGCCGGAAGGUUAAUUGAUGGGGUCAGCGCAAGCGAAGCUCUUGAUCGAAGCCCCGGUAAACGGCGGCCGUAACUAUAACGGUCCUAAGGUAGCGAAAUUCCUUGUCGGGUAAGUUCCGACCUGCACGAAUGGCGUAAUGAUGGCCAGGCUGUCUCCACCCGAGACUCAGUGAAAUUGAACUCGCUGUGAAGAUGCAGUGUACCCGCGGCAAGACGGAAAGACCCCGUGAACCUUUACUAUAGCUUGACACUGAACAUUGAGCCUUGAUGUGUAGGAUAGGUGGGAGGCUUUGAAGUGUGGACGCCAGUCUGCAUGGAGCCGACCUUGAAAUACCACCCUUUAAUGUUUGAUGUUCUAACGUGGACCCGUGAUCCGGGUUGCGGACAGUGUCUGGUGGGUAGUUUGACUGGGGCGGUCUCCUCCUAAAGAGUAACGGAGGAGCACGAAGGUUGGCUAAUCCUGGUCGGACAUCAGGAGGUUAGUGCAAUGGCAUAAGCCAGCUUGACUGCGAGCGUGACGGCGCGAGCAGGUGCGAAAGCAGGUCAUAGUGAUCCGGUGGUUCUGAAUGGAAGGGCCAUCGCUCAACGGAUAAAAGGUACUCCGGGGAUAACAGGCUGAUACCGCCCAAGAGUUCAUAUCGACGGCGGUGUUUGGCACCUCGAUGUCGGCUCAUCACAUCCUGGGGCUGAAGUAGGUCCCAAGGGUAUGGCUGUUCGCCAUUUAAAGUGGUACGCGAGCUGGGUUUAGAACGUCGUGAGACAGUUCGGUCCCUAUCUGCCGUGGGCGCUGGAGAACUGAGGGGGGCUGCUCCUAGUACGAGAGGACCGGAGUGGACGCAUCACUGGUGUUCGGGUUGUCAUGCCAAUGGCACUGCCCGGUAGCUAAAUGCGGAAGAGAUAAGUGCUGAAAGCAUCUAAGCACGAAACUUGCCCCGAGAUGAGUUCUCCCUGACCCUUUAAGGGUCCUGAAGGAACGUUGAAGACGACGACGUUGAUAGGCCGGGUGUGUAAGCGCAGCGAUGCGUUGAGCUAACCGGUACUAAUGAACCGUGAGGCUUAACCUUACAACGCCGAAGGUGUUU
This 1862-nucleotide ribosomal RNA is filed under the name Escherichia coli. Its description in RNAcentral is "partial 23S ribosomal RNA". It matches the Rfam family "Bacterial large subunit ribosomal RNA", at positions 1101 to 2925 of the family's 2925-position model. The record is from RNAcentral. Lineage: Bacteria; Pseudomonadati; Pseudomonadota; Gammaproteobacteria; Enterobacterales; Enterobacteriaceae.